This 417-nucleotide ribosomal RNA is filed under the name Bifidobacterium thermophilum. RNAcentral's name for it is "partial 23S ribosomal RNA". It matches the Rfam family "Bacterial large subunit ribosomal RNA", at positions 2513 to 2925 of the family's 2925-position model. Lineage: Bacteria; Bacillati; Actinomycetota; Actinomycetes; Bifidobacteriales; Bifidobacteriaceae. The record is from RNAcentral.
AUGGUUUGGCACCUCGAUGUCGGCUCGUCGCAUCCUGGGGCUGGAGCAGGUCCCAAGGGUUCGGCUGUUCGCCGAUCAAAGCGGCACGCGAGCUGGGUUCAGAACGUCGUGAGACAGUUUGGUCUCUAUCCUCUGCGCUCGUUGGAAUCCUGAGGAGGCCUGCCCAUAGUACGAGAGGACCUGGGUGGACGAACCUCUGGUAUGCCGGUCGUCACGCCAGUGGCGCGGCCGGUUGGCUACGUUCGGGAGGGAUAACCGCUGAAAGCAUCUAAGCGGGAAGCCUGCUCCGAGAUCAGGAUUCCGUGACCCCCCUGGGGGUCUGGAGACUCCAUGCAGAACACGUGGUUGAUAGGCCGGACGUGGAAGCCCCGCAAGGGGUGGAGCCGACCGGUACUAACAGUCGAACGGCAACACCAC